AGAGUUUGAUCCUGGCUCAGAGCGAACGCUGGCGGCGUGCCUAACACAUGCAAGUCGUACGAGAAACACGUCCUUCGGGAUGUGGAGUAAAGUGGCGCACGGGUGAGUAACACGUGGGUAACCUGCCCUAUGGUUCGGGAUAACUGGCCGAAAGGCCCGCUAAUACCGGAUGAGACCACAUGAGCCUCGGCUCAAGGGGUCAAAGUCGGCCUCUCAACGAAGCCGGCGCCACAGGAGGGGCCCGCGGACCAUUAGCUUGUUGGUAGGGUAACGGCCUACCAAGGCUGAGAUGGUUAGCUGGUCUGAGAGGAUGAUCAGCCACACUGGAACUGAGAUACGGUCCAGACUCCUACGGGAGGCAGCAGUGAGGAAUAUUGCGCAAUGGGGGAAACCCUGACGCAGCAACGCCGCGUGGGUGAAGAAGGCUUUCGGGUUGUAAAGCCCUGUCAGGUGGGAAGAACCUUCUGCAGGUGAAUAGCCUGUGGAAUUGACGGUACCACCAAAGGAAGCACCGGCUAACUCCGUGCCAGCAGCCGCGGUAAGACGGAGGGUGCAAGCGUUGUUCGGAAUCACUGGGCGUAAAGCGCGUGUAGGCGGUUCGAUAAGUCGAAUGUGAAAGCCCGGGGCUCAACCUCGGAAGUGCAUUCGAAACUGUCGGGCUUGAGUACGGGAGAGGGAAGUGGAAUUCCUGGUGUAGAGGUGAAAUUCGUAGAUAUCAGGAGGAACACCGGUGGCGAAGGCGGCUUCCUGGACCGAUACUGACGCUGAGACGCGAAAGCGUGGGGAGCAAACAGGAUUAGAUACCCUGGUAGUCCACGCCGUAAACGGUGAGCACUAGGUGUAGCGGGUAUUGACCCCUGCUGUGCCGCAGCUAACGCAUUAAGUGCUCCGCCUGGGGAGUACGGUCGCAAGAUUAAAACUCAAAGGAAUUGACGG
RNAcentral lists this ribosomal RNA (936 nucleotides) under uncultured bacterium. Its description in RNAcentral is "bacterial SSU rRNA". It matches the Rfam family "Bacterial small subunit ribosomal RNA", at positions 8 to 916 of the family's 1533-position model. The record is from RNAcentral.